Molecule: ribosomal RNA, 484 nt
Filed under: uncultured bacterium
Lineage: Bacteria
Description: partial 16S ribosomal RNA
Rfam family: Bacterial small subunit ribosomal RNA
Source: RNAcentral
AUUGAACGCUGGCGGCAGGCCUAACACAUGCAAGUCGAGCGGAUGAAGGGGGCUUUCUCCUGGAGUCAGCUGCGGACGGGUGAGUAAUGCCUAGGAAUCUGCCUGGUAGUGGGGGAUAACGUCCGGUAACGGGCGCUAAUACCUCAUACGUCCUGAGUGGGAGAGUGGGGGAUCUUCGGACCUCACGCUAUCAGAUGAGCCUAGGUCGGAUUAGCUAGUUGGUGGGGUAAAGGCCUACCAAGGCGACGAUCCGUAACUGGUCUGAGAGGAUGAUUAGUCACCUUGGAUCUGAGACACGGUACACACUCCUACGGGAGGACGCAGUGGGGACUCUUGGACGAUGCGCGAAAGGGUGAUACAGCAAUGCCGCGUGUGUGCAGAAGGUCUUCGGAUUGUAAAGCACUUUAAGUCGUGGGGAAGGGAAGUAAGUUUAUCCCUUGCUGUAUUGACGGUACCAACAGAAUAAGCACCGGCUAACUUCGUG